This 1408-nucleotide long non-coding RNA is filed under the name Homo sapiens (human). RNAcentral describes it as "SEC24B antisense RNA 1". Lineage: Eukaryota; Metazoa; Chordata; Mammalia; Primates; Hominidae. The record is from RNAcentral.
GAGGGUGUCACCCGGGACCGCGGCUCAGCUGAUGGAAUUUGAGAAAUGGCAGGUGUGAGGACUCUGACCUUCCCAUGAAGCAGGUCAUAAGACCCUCAUGUGAGAGAUGCCCUCUCUAUACCUGGAGAAAAGAAGCAGUCUUAUUUGUGAAGACAGAGAGACGCCAAGAGGAAUCUAAAUGAAUAGGCCUUGGAACCCCAGACGCACGGGCCUUGUGCUGUCGCUGCCGUGGCACCCCUUCUAGAAGAAAAUCUAGGUAUCUUGCACCAAGAAGUGGAAAAUAAAGAAGAGAAAUGAGAACCAUGUUUGUAUUGGCUGUCUAUAAAAUAAGAGAAUGAAUUCCAGCAGACCCCAGACUUUUUGGCACCAGGGACCAGUUUCGUGGAAGACAAACUGUGUGAGGCAUGGUUUCAGGAUGAAACUGUUCUGUCUCAGAUCAUCAGGCAUUAGUUAGCUUCUCAUAAGGAGCUUGCAGCGUAGAUCCUCGCAUGUGCAAGUUCACAGUAGGGUCCGCGCUCCUGUGAGAAUCUGAUGCAGCCACUGAUCUGACAGGAGGCGGAGCUCAGGCCGUCAUACUGUCCUGCCCGCUGCUUACCUCCUGCUGUGCGGCCUGGUUCCUAACAGGUCAUGGACUAGUACCGUCAGUGGCUCAGGGGUUGGGGACCAUUGAAUUAUAAAUUUGAGAGCUCUCCUGAUAAUUCAGGAAAACAACUUGCUUUUGAGUUACCUAUCAAAAUAAAUUUUAUUCAGAUGAUUGCUUUGAUAUAAAUAAUCUAGUAAGGCUAUUUUGUAUUUCCAAAAUUAAACUCUCAAUUUCCUGUUUGUGUAUAAUGAAAUAGAUAAGAUGCAAAUUAAAAAGGAAAGAGAAUGACUGGUCUGUGAAAACCUCAUGAAACAGAGCUUCUUGUUUAAACUGUUACUAUCUACAAUUAUUGCUUUUAAGGUAUUUCUUAUAUAUUAAAAUAUCCUGUAUAAUCAUUUGAAAUAUUAUUUUAGGAAGGAAAAAUGAGUUUGAACAAUAGACUCUUCAUUGUUAAAUAGCCCCUGUGGGAGAUACGGACAGCCUGGUGAUGACUGUCACCCCAUGGCGUGCAUUCCUGUACUAUUGAUUCGACUGUGUCUUAACUUGCACAUAUUCCACAUAUGCUUUUGCAGCACAAAUUCCAAAAUCUCAUGAGAAAUGUAAAAAUGUGUGCUGGGGACUGUUUCUUAAUGGGUUGUCUAUAAAGUAAGCGUGUGUGUUGCAUAUAUCUUGAUAUUUUUUCUUUUUCAUUUUUUUCAACUUAGCUGCACAUUAAAAUCAUCCAUCUUCCUUGGUCUCAAAACACGGCUGUAUUUUCAGGAUCAGGAAAUAAAUAUGUUUUUGUUUCCUGCCCCCAAAAUAAAUUAUUUGAGUUGUUUUUCUAGG